Long non-coding RNA from Cygnus olor (mute swan), 4611 nucleotides. RefSeq lists it as uncharacterized. The record is from RefSeq and is a predicted model, not a curated record. Lineage: Eukaryota; Metazoa; Chordata; Aves; Anseriformes; Anatidae. The transcript is spliced from 2 exons.
UUCUGGAACGGAGGGCUUACACCAGCGCUGCAACAAGAUUCUGGUGUGUACUGAAAGGCAGACAAGGAGAAGGGAGGGGAGAAAGAAUGCAAGGAUCUUUACCAAGAAUGCAAUAAACUUUCCCAUCAGUAGGGGAAAAGAUUUGGCUGCUGUCAUCUCUGAUUUCCAAUUUCUAGGAUUGAUACACACUACGCAAGGCAGUCGUGAUGCAACAAUAACUUUUUGGAGGAAGCAGGGAGGAAUGGUUAUCAGUAUGUUGAUUUUUCCCUGAAAACAUUUUAGCAUUUCCAUUUCCUUGUUUAUUUGAUCUUAAAAGAGAGAGAUGAUAAAAAAAUAUAAUAGGAGAAUGCUUUAAAGAGAUCCUAAUGGCUAUUUUUCUAACUUCAGAAGUCCCUUUUUGCACUCGUCGUCAGUGCAUUAAGUUACACUAACUGGCCAUGUGCUGUCAUUAGCUAACUCUGUGUAAUGAGCCCCCAGAGGUCUUUGCUGCAAAGAGUAUUGUACAGCCCUGGCCUCCCCAGAGCAUACGCACAUGCACACAUGUACCAGCAUGUUAUGCAGAAAAUGUGACGAGUCCUGCUCAUGCUGUUCAGUGUUCAAAGUACACAAAUAGGUACAAGAAUAUGCAUUUAGCUUUGAUUUUGCAUGACACAAACAGAAUCAACACUGUUUAGGUUGGAGCAUCUCCUUAGGCCUCCUUCCUCCCCAUACACUGGGUUGUUACCAGAAAUGCACAGCACAUCCUUGCACUUUGCAACAGGAGGAGGAUUUCCAAGCUCCCUCUGAAUAAACUUGCAGAUUUGUGCUGUGUCCUGAAAGCACGGAUAUUUAGAUAUUUAACACCUCAUGAUGCCACACAGCUCCUAGUUCAGAGUAUGAAAGCACCAUGAUUGUGUUAGCCCGGGAAUUGGGCUGGGGUGUUUCAGUACUGCUGCUACCGAAGUUAGUUUGCAUGGCUCCAGCUCAGGACCCUUUGCAUUGCCCCAUACGGCAGAGGGGGAACCAAAGACACUGCCCUCCCUCAGCCUGUUGUAUGAGCUCCCUUACUCAGCAUCUGGGAUGGACAAUCUGCAAGAGAAUGCAACGUGUCCCAUGGAUGAGGCAUCAGGAGAACAUACUCACCCACAUCUUUUGGGUUAUAUGCUCUGCUCUGCAAGCAUUUGGAAUAAGUGUAAGACCACCCGAAGGCUGGGACUCCUAGAGGCCACGCCAGAUCUGAAAUGAUCGGCUUCUAGCCAGCCAGUGCUGGAGUCUAGAUGCAUUUCUCUCAAAAGGGAGCUGGACCCAGGGAUCAAAGGAAAGGCAUGGGAUGGGAAAGCCCCUGAUGCUGCUGUGCAGCCUUGCUGCUGAGCUGUGUGGCACCAGGGUCACCGCUUUCCACUGCUUCCAUCUCCCUUUCUGUAAAAAGGAAGUAAUUACCCCGACCUGCCUCUUAUGGGGUUCCUCAGCUUCCUUGGCCAGCACCGAGACACACUCAUACAGAAGGUACUUGGGAAGAACGGGGGAUUGUUUGUUUUAAUUUCAUUAAUAUUUUAUUUGACCCUCACCAUGAAAGCCACAGGGGACUCAUCCAGCGUUAAUUCCCCCACACAACAAUUCAUUAGCUUAGACCUCUUCUUUAAUAGAAAAAUAGUUCACAUUGCUUGAAAACUGACCUAGUGGAGACAGAGCACUCUCCCGAUCCCUGUGAACUGACAUCUUUUGAAGCCUUGCUUUUCUGACAUCACUUGGUCUUUGGUUGCUAAUUCAGCCAGUUACACUGAUGCUAUACCCUAUUCUCGAUAAGCAUCUAGAAUUAACAUUUCUGACAUGAAACAAGCACGGUAAGGUGACCCUAGCUGAACACAACCUCAGCGCACGCCAUCUUGGCAGCCUGCUGGUAUCGGCUCGGCUCCGACUGAAUGCACAGCACUAGCAACAGCGUAUUACUGACACGUUGCUGCUCUUUAUUUCACAUUCAGCAGUGAUGCCACUCGCAGCUCCCACUCUGGGCAUUGUAACGGGGUGCAGAGGUCUCACUUUGGCUAUCCAGUAGCUCCAGAACAACAAUGAUGGUCUUCUGUCCAGAGAAGUAAAUCAGAGAAAUAAUAUGCAGGCAACCACUUACUGAAACUUCCCUUUUUAAAGGAAAUACCAACCCAGUAUUUUUCUCAGCUGCCGCAUACACAGUACCAAACAAAGCCAGAAGCAAACAGGUACAUUUCAGUAGACAAUAAUUAAUCACCGGGGCAGAAGUUUCUGCUACUUAGAGGGUUAAGGCUUUUCUAAAGCAGAAUUGACCCAUGCGUUAUUUGGCUCAGCAUAGCAUCAGCUAUGUCAGAGGUCAGAGCAGAGGAUCACAGCGCUGCUUCUAAUCUGAACGUGUGUGAAAUAAAAGCAGUAUGAGCCCUGACAAUUAAUAAAGUGGCAAAACCUGGGUUACACUUAACUCUUCCCACUACAGACGAUCCCUCUAAAUGCCUCAUGAGUUCUUACCGCUCUGUGGUUUUGGAAAGGAAAUAUUUGGCAGUGGUGCUGCCCAAAUGGAUAACCUUUUCCUGGCCUCGUGAAGUCCUUUAUAGGUUUGAUUGAGUUAUGAGGCACUGCGAAUUGCUAUUUUCUGUUUGUGUCUCACAGAAUCCAGCUCAGUCUGGCGCACUGCCAAGCCCUCUCCAUAUUCUCCUGCAAGCCCUGGUACAGCCUCCUGCACUCUCAACAGGCAUCCCCCAUGUGUCAUCCAAAAUGGAUCCCACUCCUCCUCCCCACCAGCUCCAGACGGUUCUCACCCCAGGAGGACUGUCCAGAUCAGGGGCUGCUCUGCUCUUGUGGGACCCGAUAAACUCUUCGCAGGCUGCAGUGUGGAGUGCCUCUUUCUCUGAAACUUGCGUGAAUGUUUGUCCCUGGUUCAGUAUAGCACUUACACAUUAGAUUGAGGUUCUGAGAAAAUAAAUGUUUAUAGAUGGCGGCAGAAGCAUAGGAAAGGGAAACAGUACCAGUUUGUCUAGGAUGGUGUUUGGGGGCAUAUGGGUAUUGCCUGUUUGUCAUUUACGACCCCAGCUAAGCAGGGAGACAAUUUCAAGGGAGACAGGGAAGCCUGGGAGAUGCCCCCAAGGAUCCACCCAGGGCUGAAGGGCUUUGUCACUUUGGCUGGUGCCCAACAGAAGGGUCAGCUCCAGCACAGGCAGCCCAACUGCGGGGCUCUAGUCUGCUUGAGAAAGUUAAAUGCCAGCUGAGGUCCAGCUAGUUCUGCCUGGGUGUAAUGGCAGGAGAAGGGAGGGCUGAAGGCUCCCAGUAUCCACACCACUUAGGAAAGAGAGCUACCACAACUGUCACUUUAUCAGCUUAACAAAAUUAACCUGGUCUUUUAGCAGAAUUAAACUGAUUCUCCUCUGCAAUUCAUUAGCUCCCAUGUUCACAUCCCUGUUUUUCUCUCCAAAGGGACAGGUCAGCACUGGAGGGAGGAACCAGGGUGGCGAAAUGAACACAGCUGCUUUGUAACACAUUGCAGAUGCUGGCAAGCGUCCUGAAAGUAAGAUGGAAUGACACCCAAUGGAUCCCUCAGAAGUGAGAGCCCACUGGAGCAGUAUAGCCAGGGGACAUGCACCUGAGGGUGGGAAUUCAGUAGCUGACGCAUCUUACACCGCCCAGUGAGUAGUGAUCCCAGGCAACACAUUUUUAAUUCCUGUCCCCAUUUCCCUUAUCUAUAAAAUGAAGAUUCUGAGAUUUAAUUGGGGUUAACAGCUGCGUAGUACCUUGAAAAUAUAAAGUUUUAUCUACAGUACUGCAGUUAGACAUCCUGACGUAUGACAUUUCUGAAUGGCUAAUUACCUGACUUCAUGCUCAAACCCUGGUGUUUCAGCAUAGGGCAUGCAGGAGAGAGGGAAGGGAAAAGGUGCUGUGUUCAGUGAUAGAUAGCAAUAAAUGAGUAGGUCAGGGUUCAGGUUGCAUGUCACAGUCUUGUUGUCAAUCCUCUGAUAUGUACACUAAGUGUGACUCUAUUGUAAAAGUGAAAAUGUUUGUUUGAAUUAACAGAUUAGGACGCCAAAAUGGUAGAAUACCAAGAUGGCAGUGGGCAAACGUUUGUGGCUAAUACUAUCUUGGUUGUGAAUAUUCCCAUGACUUGCAUUUUUUUAUUUUUUUUUAUGUAGUAACUUUUGUUGUGAAGAAAAUUGUUUAUGUGACACUGAAUGAAAGGUAGUUAUUGAUGCAGGCAUUUUUCUGUCUCCUACAGAGUAAUUACAACACCUGGUUGCAGGGGCUGUGAACUCAGGCUGGAGAACAGAUUAGUGAAGGAGUAACAUCGCAGACCUGGUCAAAUAAUCAUACUCCAGUUACGAUUCUUGUCCAGUGGGAGAGGUUUAACCUCAUCCCUCUCUUCAACGUUACUGUGAAACUGGGGGAUCCAUCUUGAGCCCAGGCUGAAGGCAGCGAGCUAGUUUACAGCUUUCCCCACCCGAACUGCCAGGAGUUUUGUACCAAAUCAGCCAUGCUUUUCCCUGACCCUCUCCAGCCUCUCUGCCCGUUUCCAGCCCCCACCUCCUGCUGCACGCUUCCCCAGCCGCCUGCACCUCUCUGCACGCCCAGGACACUGCAAUGCUCAUCAGGGCAGGCAGCAGCCUGAGCUACGGUCAG